Non-coding RNA from Characodon lateralis, 73 nucleotides. Lineage: Eukaryota; Metazoa; Chordata; Actinopteri; Cyprinodontiformes; Goodeidae. The record is from the annotation of a GenBank genome assembly.
GACCACGUCGCCUAACGGACAAGGCAUCUGACGUCGUAUCAGAAGACUGAGGGUUCGAGUCCCUUUGUGGUUG